Molecule: transfer RNA, 72 nt
Filed under: Corynebacterium sp.
Lineage: Bacteria; Bacillati; Actinomycetota; Actinomycetes; Mycobacteriales; Corynebacteriaceae
Also listed under: 10 other names
Description: tRNA-Val
Rfam family: tRNA
About the family: Transfer RNA (tRNA) molecules are approximately 80 nucleotides in length. Their secondary structure includes four short double-helical elements and three loops (D, anti-codon, and T loops).
Source: RNAcentral
GGUCUCAUGGCUCAGUGGAAGAGCGUUCCGUUCACACCGGAAAGGUCGCUGGUUCGAUCCCAGCUGAGACCA